RNAcentral lists this transfer RNA (76 nucleotides) under Caldisericota bacterium. RNAcentral's name for it is "tRNA-Arg". It matches the Rfam family "tRNA". From Rfam's summary of the family: Transfer RNA (tRNA) molecules are approximately 80 nucleotides in length. Lineage: Bacteria; Pseudomonadati; Caldisericota. The record is from RNAcentral.
GGGCCCAUAGCUCAACGGAUAGAGCAUCGGACUUCUAAUCCGAUGGCUGGGAGUUCGAGUCUCCCUGGGCCCGCCA